RNAcentral lists this ribosomal RNA (279 nucleotides) under uncultured bacterium. Its description in RNAcentral is "partial 16S ribosomal RNA". It matches the Rfam family "Bacterial small subunit ribosomal RNA", at positions 506 to 784 of the family's 1533-position model. The record is from RNAcentral.
UGCCAGCAGCCGCGGUAAUACGAAGGGGGCAAGCGUUGUUCGGAAUUACUGGGCGUAAAGGGCGCGUAGGCGGACUUACCAGUCAGGGGUGAAAUCCCGGGGCUUAACCUCGGAACUGCCUCUGAUACUGUAAGUCUAGAGUCCGAGAGAGGUAAGCGGAAUACCCAGUGUAGAGGUGAAAUUCGUAGAUAUCCGGAGGAACACCAGAGGCGAAGGCGGCUAUCUGGACCAGUACUGACGCUGAGGAGCGAAAGCGUGGGGAGCAAACAGGAUUAGAUA